ACUUAAAUAGUUUAAUAAAAAUAUUAAUUUGUGGGAUUAAAGAUAUAAAAUAAUUAUGAUAUUUUAAGUA
This 70-nucleotide transfer RNA is filed under the name Ips calligraphus. RNAcentral's name for it is "tRNA-His". The record is from RNAcentral. Lineage: Eukaryota; Metazoa; Arthropoda; Insecta; Coleoptera; Curculionidae.